Transfer RNA from Camelus ferus (Wild Bactrian camel), 73 nucleotides. It matches the Rfam family "tRNA". Rfam says of the family: Transfer RNA (tRNA) molecules are approximately 80 nucleotides in length. Their secondary structure includes four short double-helical elements and three loops (D, anti-codon, and T loops). The record is from Rfam. NCBI's taxonomy places the organism in Eukaryota, Metazoa, Chordata, Mammalia, Artiodactyla, Camelidae.
GAGGGUAUAGCUCAAGUGGCAGAGCAUGUGCUUAGCAUGCACUAGGUCCUGGGUUCAAUCCCCAGUACCUCCA